UUUCAGACUGACAAUGUCGGUUCGGAAGCGAACCUCAAUCCAGGACUGGAUCCAGGAUUAUUACAGUCCAGUUCUCUCAGUUCUAGCUAGUCAGGAUGUCGAAAUUAUUGCUGGGAAAAAUAAUUUAACAUUCACUGAGAUUCUUCAACCCUUUUCUAAACUUGGAACCGAUGUGACUAUCAAGGAUGUGGACGGAUCUAAUCACAAUGUUCCGAACCUUCAUUUGAUCCUCCAGGAUCUUAACCGGGAUUCUCCGAAGCUGAUCAACCAAAAGCUGCUCCUGGAGAGGUUGAGCGAGGAGAACUGCGAGGAGAGCGAGAUGGUGACUAAACAUUAUGAUAAGAUCUCCCUUGAUGCUCCGGGAUUCACGCCCUGGUUUGAUCUCUGGAUGAAACUCUACCUCCAAACCCUGCCUGUGGUUGAGCAUGAAUAUCUGAAACAUCAGUUUGGAUGCAUCUUUGCCGUCUCCACCCAGUGUUCCAAUCCUGUAGAACAGCUCCGAACCUUGUCUCAGGUUCAGCAUAAGUAUCAACAUGAUAGGGUUGGUUCCAAUACUCCAUAUUUCUCCCCGAACAUAUUAAAAUACUAUAUCCUUGUUCAUGAUGUCAACAGUGGAAUCACAGAUAUGCAGGCAGAGAACAUGUUUACUCAGAUUCAGAACGCUUUCGAUGCAAACAAUUGCCAUCUACUCCACCUCAACUCUAGAAAUAUUAUGGAUGAGUCCUCACCUUCUCCCAACCCUGUAGCUGAGAACUGGAUUCAGUUCAGUCAUAGAUUUACAACUGUUGAACUGAGAAGAUGUAGCUCCCAGCCUGUUAGUUCUCCGAAUCCUGUAACUAGGAUUGUAAACGUGGAUAAAGCUACUAAAGAUUCCUUGAGUUUAGAACAUCCUUUAGCUGUUCAGGAACCUGUUGACUCCCCAGCUUUGCAAACAAAUCAAAUUAUUUUAACACAGGCGACAUCUGCUUCAAUAGCCAAGUGUUUGAGUCCAAGUGAUCUGGAUAGAAUCAGGAGUAUGAUGAGAGAAUUAGUUCUCAAGGUGGUCAUACCUUUCGCUGAGAAGCAGAUGAAACAAAUCCACGAAAUUGUAGUUAACAGGAAAUCCCGGAGUUUAUUCUCCGGAGCUAAACGAUGGUUUGGGAGUAACAAAACCAACCCAGGAGCAGCAGGGAACAGUGUUAUAUACAGCAAGGAUGCACCUGAACUCCAGGUGCGUAAGCUGGCAGAUUUAUACUUUCUAAUGAAAAUGUAUAAACAAUCCUACAAUCUUUACUACACAGCAAAAAAAGAUUUUCAGGUUGAUGAAGCCUGGCCCUACUAUGCUCCUGCUGUAGAGUUAACAGCUCUAGCGAUGUUCAUGAUAUCUCUCUCAGGAGCAGAUCAAGGGAAGAAAUAUCGUCCUGAUUAUAUGGAAGAUGCAAUAACUAAAUAUCUGACUCUGUGCCAAACUCCAGAGUUCGCCAUCAGGGCUACGCUUUUCGAUGCGCUGUGCUUGAAGCAGCAAGGGAUGUUUGUUGAAGCCUCCAAGAGCUAUAUAAGGAUGACGAAUGAGCUUAGCGAUCUCAGGUCUGCUAUGCUCCUUGAACAAGCUGGAUACUGUUUCCUUCUCUCCAAUCCUCCAAGUGUACGGAAAUACGGAUUUCACAUAGUCCUCUCAGGAUACAGGUUUACUAAAACAGGAAGCUGUAAGAAACAUGCGGCUCGUCUGUAUAGACAAGGAGCACAGGUUUACGACGGGAAAGGCUGGCUACUGUCAUCAGAACACAUUCUCUACUCUCUUGGUCACCAGAAGUUCAUGCUAAAAGACUUCUCCACCUCCUCGGAGUUCUUCAACAACCUGAUGUCCGUCUCCACCGGGCGGAACCCCCUUCAGCAGAUGGUUCACUUGAGGGAGUACUUCCUGGUUCACCACGCCCGGCACAAGGAAUACCAGUCCGUGGUUGUUCUCACAGUUCCUAAGAUAAUAUGCAAACAGCUUUCUGUCUCCUUGAACAAUAAUAUGUCUCAGAUACCUAAACAUUGGCAGGCUGUAGAGCGGUGUAUAGUAGAGGGUAUUACUGGUCAAGAAAUUCUUGUUCACUCACAAACCUCACAACAACUUUUUACAGAGAACACAGAAAACCAUCUUACACCUCAGGGCGUGGUUGGAGAAAAGAUCUUUGUGACCGUUCCUUUCGAGAACUCGUUUAACAACCCCCUGGUGCUGAGGAGGUCGAUGUUGCUCUGGAGGUUUACAACAAGUCAUGGGGAGGUGUUCUCCAACGAUAAGCAGGAGAAGACCACCUCUGCUAGUAUACAAGCAAUCCCUCUGGAGUCUGUUAUUAUAGAGAGUAACUCCAGUAGGAGUGUAGUUUUCGAGAUCUCCGGUAGUUCUCCGGGAGUUCUCAAUAUUAUCGGUGUCGAGUAUUCUCUCAAACCUAGUUUUCCUGAUCGGGAACCCACUGAUCACGAGAUCAGGGGCAAGCAAUAUUUUCAGAUUGUUGGUCGCAGACAAAAUGCAAUUAAAGAUCAUAAAACAAAAAUAGUUCAAGCUCAAGAUCAUCGUUUAACAGUUAAUAUUCGGGAUCCGCAACCUCUCCUCACGGCGUCUCUGAGCUUCCCAGAGAAUCUUCUAGCAGGUGAGUUGCGUUGCAUAGAGUUAGAUAUAAAGAACGUUGGCAGCAUGGGACUCAAGAACCUUCAUAUAGUCUCAACCGUUCCUGGUAUCUUCUCAUUUGGAAAACCCCGGUCCCAAUCCAUGUUUGAGUAUCCUUUACUGGAAAAACAGUAUCCUCCUCUUAGGAUUCUGAAGGAGGACGGUUCAGUGUCACAGACCUGUCUUGAUAUAUUAUCGGUUCCUCUGUCUGAAUCUCUAGCUGGAGAACUUAAAUCUCAAUCCUCGGCUAAACUACCAGUCUGGAUUAAAGGUCCAUCAACUGGUCCCGAGGUGGUUGAGGACGUAUAUCUAUAUUAUGAGAACUCUGACACUCCGGAUAAGAAGCUCCCUUACCGUAUUCUACAUAUACCCCUGAGAUUACGAAUCCUCCCUUCUCUCCAGUGUUCUGCUCUCUCCUACCCAACAGCAGUUCACGAGAAUAUUGAUACUUCAAACCUUAUACUCAGGUUGAAGAAUGUGACCAAAGAUGGGACAGGAUGUUUAGAGAAUAUUCAAAUAUCUCAGGUAACCCUUGUGAGUGUAGAACGUGAGCUAUCAAGUAUAGAAUCUACUGGAACCUGUGCUAAUGUAUCCAGGGGGGAUUCAGUAUCAAUAGCUCUCAAAUCUGUGAUAGUAGAGAAGUCCAGUGUGUUGGAUGAGCUAGUGAACCUACCGAUGAACCAGAACAAGGAGUUGAAGGGAGGAUCCUUGCAUUUCUCAAGUUUAGCUACUCCUCAGAACAAGGGACACUCAAUCUCUUCUCCGCCAUUCGUGGAUUUUCUUAAACCUUUUUUCAGCUUCAACCUUGGACGGAAAACUAACCCACCAUUUUUAAAAACUGAUAUUGUGGUUUUAAUGUGGAGAGGAGUAGGCUCCCAACCCGUCCUAGGACAAACCAUUCUCCUCGUCAAAUCUAAACCAUUCGACUCCAGGACGGAGGAGACUGAGAUACCCUUCCCUCACUACCCUGUUAAUGUAGAAGUAGAGUAUGAUAGAAAAAUUUUGCAUGAUUUCUACAGAAAUCCGUUUGCCGGAGUCAGGGUUCGGGUUGAGUUCUCAGGACAGGACGGAGAAAAAAGCGGAGAAGGAGGAAUCUUGUUACAGUUUUGCUUACAAGAUGUUGAAAGAGGAGUUCGAUGGACCGGAGUUACAGAUGGGAUGAGAUGGAUUAAACAGGAUGAAUUAGUUCUAAAUCUUGGAGUAAAUGUAUCUAGACCAGGACUCUUCCAUCUACGGAACCUCAAGUUUAGAGCUGUUAAAUUGAAAAAUUUUGAUCUAAGAUAUUUUGAAACCCAUGAUGAACCCUGGAGCUGUGUGGAUUUGAGCUUUACUGUACACCAUGAGUAAUUAUUAUGUAAUUACAUAUUUAUUUUUCUGUACUGUACUGUACUGUUCUGUGCUGUACUGCAUAGUUUAAACAUGUUCAGAUCUCUCCUGAAGAUCAUUGUCUAAGGGUAAAAAAAUUCAUAAAUUUGAUUUUUGUAACAUGAUAUAAAAAUGUUAAAAUCCUUCUGAAUAAUAAACCAAAAAACGGCUAGAUGAAUCAUGUUGAUUGUUCACUUUCGAUGCGUAAUCGUCUACUACAAUGCCUUGUGAGGAAUAGUUUUGUUUUUUUUAAAGUUAAUUUUGUCGAUAUACAUUGUACAGUGAAAAACGUACUGUUGUCUAGUCGCUUAUGUACUUCCGAUAAUACCUUUUGAGAAAUUGUACUGCACUCGGUGUUUAAAUUCGUUUAUCUAUGAUUUCCAUAUUUAUAUUUGAUACCAGUAAUUAUAACUAGAAAUCUAGAAGUAAAGAUGCAUUUUAUUAGGAAGUUUUUCCCAUUUAUAAGUUUUAACAUGUUAACAUCAGAAUCCUGCAACUCACGUGUACUCUACUCCAUUCCUAUAUCCUAGUCCGAUCCUAUAUCCUACUCAAAUCCUAUAUCUUUCUCCAAUCCUAUAUCCUACUCAAAUCCUAUUUAUUUUUCCAAUCCUAUAUCCUACUCAAAUCAUAUAUCUUUCUCCAAUCCUAUAUCCUACUCCAAUCCUAUAUCCUACUCCAAUCCUAUAUCUUACUCAAAUCCUAUAUUCUUCUCUUCCUUUAUCUUACUGUAAUCCUAUAUUCUACUCCGAUACGUUAUCCUACUCCAAUAUCCUAUAAUAUCCUACUCCAAUCCUAAAUCCUAUCUCAAUCUUAUAUCCCGACUCCAAUCAUUUAUCUAACUCCAAUCCUAUAUCCUACUGCAAUCAUAUCCUACUCCAAUCUUGUAUUCUACUUCAAUUUUAUAUCCUCCAAUCCUUUAUCCUAUUCCAACCCAAUUAAGCGUACUCAAAUCCUAUAUUUUACUCCAUCCUACUCCAACAUGUAUACACAUCCUUAAAUCAAUCCCGUUUCAUACUUAUAUAUUCUUUGUGAGGCUUAUCCUUUGUGGUUAACCUUGAAUAUCAAUCCAAUUUUGUUUUAUGUCCUGUAAUCAACUGAACCAACAAGGAUGAUGAGUAUGACGAGGUUGUGUGAUAAGUAUAUAAUGUUUCUAAUCUGUGUUGUGAACAGUGUUAUACCUGCUUUCCUUUGUCAAUAUACUUGAUUCAACACUGCAAA
Eurytemora carolleeae is the source of this 5218-nucleotide RNA transcript. It is a transcript of the gene named trafficking protein particle complex subunit 8, with no coding region annotated. The transcript has 25 exons. NCBI's taxonomy places the organism in Eukaryota, Metazoa, Arthropoda, Copepoda, Calanoida, Temoridae. The record is from RefSeq and is a predicted model, not a curated record.